This 253-nucleotide ribosomal RNA is filed under the name uncultured bacterium. RNAcentral's name for it is "partial 16S ribosomal RNA". It matches the Rfam family "Bacterial small subunit ribosomal RNA", at positions 524 to 776 of the family's 1533-position model. The record is from RNAcentral.
UACGAAGGGGGCUAGCGUUGCUCGGAAUCACUGGGCGUAAAGGGUGCGUAGGCGGAUCUUUAAGUCAGGGGUGAAAUCCUGGAGCUCAACUCCAGAACUGCCUUUGAUACUGAGGAUCUCGAGUCCGGGAGAGGUGAGUGGAACUGCGAGUGUAGAGGUGAAAUUCGUAGAUAUUCGCAAGAACACCAGUGGCGAAGGCGGCUCACUGGCCCGAUACUGACGCUGAGGCACGAAAGCGUGGGGAGCAAACAGG